AUUGAACGCUGGCGGAAUGCUUUACACAUGCAAGUCGAGCGGCAGCACGGGGGCAACCCUGGUGGCGAGCGGCGAACGGGUGAGUAAUACAUCGGAACAUGCCCAGUCGUGGGGGAUAACACUUCGAAAGAAGUGCUAAUACCGCAUACGUCCUGAGGGGGAAAGCGGGGGAUCGCAAGACCUCGCGCGAUUGGAGUGGCCGAUGUCAGAUUAGCUAGUUGGUGGGGUAAAGGCCUACCAAGGCAACGAUCUGUAGCUGGUCUGAGAGGAUGAUCAGCCACACUGGGACUGAGACACGGCCCAGACUCCUACGGGAGGCAGCAGUGGGGAAUUUUGGACAAUGGGGGCAAACCUGAUACAGCCAUUCCGCGUGAGUGAAGAAGGACUUCGGGUUGUAAAGCUCUUUCGGCAGGAACGAAACGGUGAGCUCUAACAUAGCUUGCUAAUGACGGUACCUGAAGAAGAAGCACCGGCUAACUACGUG
Molecule: ribosomal RNA, 484 nt
Filed under: uncultured bacterium
Lineage: Bacteria
Description: partial 16S ribosomal RNA
Rfam family: Bacterial small subunit ribosomal RNA
Source: RNAcentral